Drosophila busckii is the source of this 1691-nucleotide long non-coding RNA. RefSeq lists it as uncharacterized. The transcript has 2 exons. The record is from RefSeq and is a predicted model, not a curated record. NCBI's taxonomy places the organism in Eukaryota, Metazoa, Arthropoda, Insecta, Diptera, Drosophilidae.
ACAAUACAAAAGAAAUUAAUUAAUCAUCAAAGGUCAUAGUUGUAACAUUUAUAUGCAUUGGAGUCGGUUCGAGUCUGGGUACAGCAACUAAAUAAACGCUUGGAUACCAAUUACAAAUGGGCUGUCAACUAAAAAUAGCAAAAACUAAAUGAGUCAGUGGCAGGGGCGACAUAUAUUUUGUUUAUUUGGUUCUUGAUGACUGAGCGGCCGUAACUGAUUAAAUUAAUUAAAAAUUCUUGUUGCACCAUAAACAGCAGCAUUUAGCCAUGUACUUAUUCUUCUUCUUAUCCUUCAUCUUCAUUAUCAUCAUCUCUAUAUUGGCUAAUGUCUUAAAUCUGUACAUAUCAAAGAUCUGGCUCGAUCUCGAUCUAUACGAAAACAAACAACUUGUGGGUAAUUUAUUAUUUUAUUUUUGCAUGAACUAAAUGUCAGCAGCAGAAGCGCUCGUACAUUUUAAAGCCAAUUUAUUUUUCUUUUGAAUUUUAAACUGUUUUCUUUUUUAUUUUUGUCGAAAUAAAAAUUCAAUUUACUUGCAGCAAAUACAUAUAAAUUGUUUUUCAUUAUAGCCACACAAAUCCAGACAACGGUGGCCAGCUAAAAAUAAUCUAAACCAGCUAAUCUACAGAAAAUUAGUUUUCAAAGCAAACAAUUUUCCAAAAAGCAGAAAAAAACCAAACAAAAAAGCAACAAUAUACAAUAAAUUGAAAAUAGAACAUAGAAAGAAGCUGGCUAAGUAUGUAUAUAGAAAAUUCUCUACUGUUGGCAGCUGUGAAAUUCAAUGUCUGCUUUUACUUUGUUAGACCUCUUUUUACCCCCCACCUAUUUUUGGUUGCGCUAGUUUUGUGCUCAUUUGGUUUCUAAAGAUACAACAGCCGGAGCAGUUGCCGCCACUGUUUCUGCUGCUGUUUGCGCUAGAUGUGUCAUCCACAAUAUUUUAUGCUAAUAUUCAGAAUUUUCAAAAAAAAAACCUCAUGAGAAAAAUUAUAAAAGUUUCAUGCUCGAGCGGAGGCGUUCUAAAUGUGCGUUUUGCGCACGGCCCCAAAAUUAGUGAACACAUGUUUCUACAUCUGUAUCUACAUAUUGCUAUAUAAAUAAAAAAAAAAUUUAGCUAAGUUAUGUACCCAAUAAUUAUUUAAUACAUAAGCUGCCUUAUUUUUAAACUUUCACUCAAGGGGCUGGCGUAUUUUUUGAGUGCUUUACUCAAUUUUCUAAAUUUUUCUAGAAUUUUCAACACGCGCUAAUGUUUUUUGCGCCACUGUGCAAGAAAUGUUUUCUAUCAUUUGCAAAAUAUUUGUAAUUAAAUUUUUUUUAUUACUUUUUUAUAAAUUAAAUUUGCUUUAUAUAUAAGUAUUUUUUUGGGAUUUUCGUUUACUUUAGUGUGUUAAACGUGUUUAAAUAAAUUGAGUUUACUUGGGUUAGUACUAAAAAAAAAUCGUUCGUUUUGCGUUGUUACUUUAAAAUAUUCUUCACUCAAACUUUCACAUAGUUCGUCAGUAAGUUAAGGAGCUGUUAAGUCGUUUAAAGUUUUAGUCAGUUUUGUUGAUUAUUUAGCUUUCCAUACAUUUCUUUUUGCUUUGUUUUGGUUGUUGAUUUUUCAUUUUUGAGCAUUCUUUGGAGUUUUGGUCGCUUACUUUUUUUUGUUGUUUUCUUUUUUUGUUUUGUUGCAUACAUUAUCGAACACUGGCUUUGCA